Molecule: non-coding RNA, 1396 nt
Organism: Xenopus laevis (African clawed frog)
Lineage: Eukaryota; Metazoa; Chordata; Amphibia; Anura; Pipidae
Source: the annotation of a RefSeq genome assembly
UUCCUUUUACAUCCCAAAUCAGUGCAUUUACAGUAUUGUCUUUGUACAUGAACCUCUCCCUCAGCUCCAACGCUGGAUUUAGAGGCAAGUGUGUGGUGGGACCCAUAUAGGCACCCAAUACCCACCUCUUUAAAACUGCCAGCCUUGGCCCCUCCAGUGCCUAAAUGAUAAAUGUGCUCCUGAAAAACAAUACAUUUUUUGAAAAAAUAAACAAGGAAUGUAAAAUUGAUUAAUACUGUAACCAUUCCAUGCUCUGGAAUAUACAUAUAUUAUAUGCAUAUAUAUGUACAUGAAUAUAUACUAUAUGUAAAUAAAGAAUUCAAAUAAAAAUAGCUUUCUACCAAUCAAUUCACACUGGAGACCUUGACAUAAAAUCAUUCUUUGAAUAAAUCAACUUGAGGGUUUGACAUUAACAUAUUUAUAUCUUUCCAGAAUUGACGAUAAUCUGCAAAUAUUUAGACAUAUGAAGAGUAUGCAUUCAUUAAUCCCCAUAACUAAUUUACAUAAGUAAAGGAUUACCAUUUUUUUCUAUCCUAUAUAUGUAGGGUUAGCAAGCAAAUACUUAACUGCAAAAGAGAAAGUUUUAAACCCCAGCAAUGACUCUUAUUCUUGCUACAUGUUGUGUAUUGCUAUGGAAUUCAUAUGCAGAAUCUCAGACAUUGCUGACACCAUCAAAUAAUGCAGUAAAUCUGGGAGAGAGGGUAACUCUUACCUGUAAUAUUGGAGCUAAGGAUGGUGACUUGGUAAACCUCCUAAAGCAAAUACCAGGGAAUCCUCCACAGCUGAUUUUAUAUCAUCACCAUUCAUUCACCUCUCCUAGAUAUGGACCAGGGAUAUCUACUGACCGUUAUACUGCCACCAUUAAUGCCGCAGCCACUGAGUAUCAGUUUAUUAUUAAGAAGGCAGAGACAGCAGACACUGCUCAUUAUUACUGUGUGAAAUGGUUUUGGAGCCUUCCAGGGUUCCACAGUGAUAAAGAGUCUGACUAGAUCUGGUCACAUAAAAAAGGAACUGGUUUAUGGCAGACUGCACAUCUACAUUUACUCAGUCAGUUUUUACAGAUAUUCUGUGUUGUUUACCACUGAAUACUGAUAAACUGUUUGCACAUGAACAUAUUACUUAUCAAUUUUUCAACUUAAGGGCAGAUCAAAUUUUCUAGAUUAAACUGGGGAAUUCAGAAAGAUUCCCACAAUGUAUUUUGCAGUUUUUCCAGAACUAUUAGCAGAUCAAUCAAACAACACUGAUAGUGCCAGGCCUAGGUUUUUUGUUGCCCUAGGCAUACCAGGCAUAGCAGACCCCCUCCAAAAGCACCCCACUGGUGCAUAAAUCAAUUUUCUGAUUUGGUUAAAGAGGUUGUUUACCUUCCAAACACUUUCAGUUCAGUUAUUUUCAGACU